GACGAACGCUGGCGGCGUGCUUAACACAUGCAAGUCGAACGGAAAGGCCCUGCUUUUGUGGGGUGCUCGAGUGGCGAACGGGUGAGUAACACGUGAGUAACCUGCCCUUGACUUUGGGAUAACUUCAGGAAACUGGGGCUAAUACCGGAUAGGAGCUCCUGCUGCAUGGUGGGGGUUGGAAAGUUUCGGCGGUUGGGGAUGGACUCGCGGGUUAUCAGCUUGUUGGUGGGGUAGUGGCUUACCAAGGCUUUGAAGGGUAGGCGGCAUGCGAGGGUGACCGGCCACAUUGGGACUGAGGUACGGCCCAGACUCCUACGGGAGGCAGCAGUGGGGAAUAUUGCACAAUGGGCGGAAGCCUGAUGCAGCAACGCCGCGUGCGGGAUGACGGCCUUCGGGUUGUAAACCGCUUUCGCCUGUGACGAAGCGUGAGUGACGGUAAUGGGUAAAGAAGCACCGGCUAACUACGUG
Molecule: ribosomal RNA, 468 nt
Filed under: uncultured bacterium
Lineage: Bacteria
Description: partial 16S ribosomal RNA
Rfam family: Bacterial small subunit ribosomal RNA
Source: RNAcentral